AAUGGAGCAGAGACUGGAGCAGAGACAAGUUGUUCCCACUGAGCUCUCCUCAGAUUACAGAUUGGUCUGAUUAUAAAAGGAGAAUUGGAGGCUUACCAAACAUCUGAAGAGCUUUCCAGAAGUUUGGUCACUUCUGAAUUAGAGAAGUUAAAACCCAAUCACCUACUAAUGCUGUGGGAAAGUUCUGCAGGUGAUACAUCACAGGGGCUCAUGAAUGUGUCUUAAGCUGGGUCAUUGAAGUGGAAUGUUUUCACAAGACCUCCUCCACUUGCUACUGUGUCCGGAAUUGGUGGGUUCUUGGUCUCACUGACUUCAAGAAUGAAGCCGCGGACCCUCGCGUAGCUGCAGCAUCAACCCAGUGCCCUGACUUUCAAGACGACUAUGAAAACACCCCAACUGCUGCUAAAUUACCAGCAACAAGGAUCUGUUUGCAGCAUCACAGAAAAUGAUGCUCUCUCCUGCCAAGUCCCAUUUUUUGGGAGGAGGAAAUGGAUUAGGUCCUGGAGGUUGUCAUAAAUGCAUCAAGUGACUUUCUCAGCAUCAUCUGAAACAAUUGAAGAUCCUAAAAAAAUGAUAGCAGCUUUUAAGAAGGACUAUAGUGGAACAAGCAAUAUUCUAAGUGACAAGAGACACAGAUUCUAGAAUAAACUUAGCCAAAUAUGUA
RNAcentral lists this long non-coding RNA (664 nucleotides) under Homo sapiens (human). RNAcentral describes it as "long intergenic non-protein coding RNA 1505". Lineage: Eukaryota; Metazoa; Chordata; Mammalia; Primates; Hominidae. The record is from RNAcentral.